Non-coding RNA from Arachis ipaensis, 724 nucleotides. The record is from RefSeq and is a predicted model, not a curated record. NCBI's taxonomy places the organism in Eukaryota, Viridiplantae, Streptophyta, Magnoliopsida, Fabales, Fabaceae.
AGGAUACUCUCUUUGUUUGUGUGUUUUUUUAAGUUUAAUUAUUCUAAUAAUCUCCAUAGUUUUACUAAUUAUGUGAUUAGAUUUUUAUAGUUUAAAAAUUUGUAAUUAGAUCUUUAUAUUAGGUAAAAAUUUGUAAUUAAAUCUUUAUUAUUGAUUAUUUUUCAGAAUAAAACACGCUAAUGCUAAAAUAUUUGCUUUUAGAAUAUUCCAUAUUCAUUCUACAUCAAACACAAAAUCAAAUAUUUAAAAUAAAAUUGAUUUUUCAACAAAAAAUAGUUAAAAAAGACCCAAUAGAAUAGCAAGUUUUUAUUUAAUUUAGAGAAUCAAUAACAAACUUUUAGACGAAAAGAAUCUAAUUAAAAUUUUGAUGAAAUUAUGAAGACCAACAGAAUAAUUAAUUUUUUUUAAAAACUAAGUAGAUCUUAGAUUUCUUCGCUAAAUUUGGUUGUUGCUCUACUAAUAGGCUUAUUUUAUUAUUUUUUAUUCCCCAUUACUAUUUUAUGAUUCUGUUUUGUCACUGUUAUUAUUAUUGCUUUCCAUGCUGAAAACCUUACAGAAGAGAGAGUUGAUGAAGUGUUGAAUGAAUUUCUGAAAGAUAUCAAAGAAGGAAGAAGGUGCUGCUAGUGCUGUCAAAAUAGCAUUGCUUUCAAAUGCCUCUUCUGGCCUUUUCUAUUCUCAGAAUGAAGUUUCUUCAUUCUAAUCCAAUUGAGUUGAGCAAAACUGU